GCCUCAGUAGCUCAGAUUAUUUAAUCUUUUAAAUAAGAGUAAUGGCCAGAGCAGCUGACUUGUAAUCAGCAGGUCGGGGGUUCAAAUCCCUCCUGGGGCU
RNAcentral lists this transfer RNA (100 nucleotides) under archaeon. RNAcentral's name for it is "tRNA-Thr". It matches the Rfam family "tRNA". Rfam says of the family: Transfer RNA (tRNA) molecules are approximately 80 nucleotides in length. Their secondary structure includes four short double-helical elements and three loops (D, anti-codon, and T loops). Further hydrogen bonds mediate the characteristic L-shaped molecular structure. tRNAs have two regions of fundamental functional importance: the anti-codon, which is responsible for specific mRNA codon recognition, and the 3' end, to which the tRNAs corresponding amino acid is attached (by aminoacyl-tRNA synthetases). tRNAs cope with the degeneracy of the genetic code in two manners: having more than one tRNA (with a specific anti-codon) for a particular amino acid; and 'wobble' base-pairing, i.e. permitting non-standard base-pairing at the 3rd anti-codon position. The record is from RNAcentral.